RNAcentral lists this ribosomal RNA (332 nucleotides) under uncultured eukaryote. Its description in RNAcentral is "partial 18S ribosomal RNA". It matches the Rfam family "Eukaryotic small subunit ribosomal RNA", at positions 1470 to 1796 of the family's 1831-position model. The record is from RNAcentral.
CCCUUAGAUGUUCUGGGCCGCACGCGCGCUACACUGAUGCAUUCAACGAGUUUCUUCCUGGUCCGAGAGGAAUGGGUAACCUUUUGAAAGUGCAUCGUGAUAGGGAUAGACUAUUGCAAUUAUUGGUCUUCAACGAGGAAUUCCUAGUAGACGUAGUUCAUCAGACUGCAUCGAUUACGUCCCUGCCCUUUGUACACACCGCCCGUCGCUACUACCGAUUGAACGGUUUAGUGAGGGCCUCGGAUUGGUCUCGGCCCGCUCUUCACCGGGCGGCGCCGUUGGUCGAGAAGACGCUCGAACUUGAUCGUUUAGAGGAAGUAAAAGUCGUAACA